GACGAACGCUGGCGGCGUGCUUAACACAUGCAAGUCGAACGAUGAAGCGGUUGCUUUCUCUCGUGGUUUAGUGGCGAACGGGCGAGUAACACGUGAGUAACCUGUCCUUUUCUUUGGGAUAACGUCUGGAAACUGCUGCUAAUACUGGAUAUUCAGGCUUCAUCGCUUGGUGUGGUUUGGAAAGGUUUUUUCUGGGAUUGGGUGGGCUCGCGGCCUAUCAGCUUGUUGGUGGGGUGAUGGCUUACCAAGGCUUUGACGGGUAGCCGGCGUGAGAGGGUGACCGGCGAGAUUGGGACUGAGAUACGGCGCAGAGUCCUAAGGGAGGAAGCAGUGGGGAAUAGUGCACAAGGGGCGGAAGACUGAGGCAGGAACGCGGAGGGAGGGAGGACGGACUGAGGGUUGUAAAACGCGUUCGCCUGUGAAGAAGCGGGAGUGAAGGUAAUGGGUAAAGAAGAACCGGCUAACUACGUG
Molecule: ribosomal RNA, 471 nt
Filed under: uncultured bacterium
Lineage: Bacteria
Description: partial 16S ribosomal RNA
Rfam family: Bacterial small subunit ribosomal RNA
Source: RNAcentral